This 506-nucleotide ribosomal RNA is filed under the name uncultured bacterium. Its description in RNAcentral is "partial 16S ribosomal RNA". It matches the Rfam family "Bacterial small subunit ribosomal RNA", at positions 29 to 523 of the family's 1533-position model. The record is from RNAcentral.
AGUGAACGCUGGCGGUAGGCCUAACACAUGCAAGUCGAACGGCAGCACAGGAGAGCUUGCUCUCUGGGUGGCGAGUGGCGGACGGGUGAGGAAUACAUCGGAAUCUACUCUGUCGUGGGGGAUAACGUAGGGAAACUUACGCUAAUACCGCAUACGACCUACGGGUGAAAGCAGGGGACCUUCGGGCCUUGCGCGAUUGAAUGAGCCGAUGUCGGAUUAGCUAGUUGGCGGGGUAAAGGCCCACCAAGGCGACGAUCCGUAGCUGGUCUGAGAGGAUGAUCAGCAAAACUGGAACUGAGACACGGUCCAGACUACUACGGGAGGCAGCAGUGGGGAAUAUUGGACAAUGGGCGCAAGCCUGAUCCAGCCAUACCGCGUGGGUGGAGAAGGCCUUCGGGUUGUAAAGCCCUUUUGUUGGGAAAGAAAUCCAGCUGGCUAGUACCCGGUUGGGAUGACGGUACCCAAAGAAUAAGCACCGGCUAACUUCGUGCCAGCCGCCGCGGUAA